GUCCUGGCCGUAAACGAUGGGCACUAACUAGAGGUCUCCCUGUGGGAUCUCUGGUGGAGCAAAUGUGAUAAGUGCCCCGCCUGGGAAGUACGGUCGCAAGGCUAAAACUCAAAGGAAUUGACGGGGGCUCACACAAGCGGUGGAGCAUGUGGUUUAAUUCGAAGCAACGCGAAGAACCUUACCCAGGCUUGACAUGCUGGGAUUAGUCUCCUGAAAGGGAGACGAUUGCCUUCGGGUGUAACCAGCACAGGUGUUGCAUGGCUGUCGU
RNAcentral lists this ribosomal RNA (268 nucleotides) under uncultured bacterium. RNAcentral describes it as "partial 16S ribosomal RNA". It matches the Rfam family "Bacterial small subunit ribosomal RNA", at positions 793 to 1055 of the family's 1533-position model. The record is from RNAcentral.